Molecule: RNase P RNA, 297 nt
Filed under: marine eukaryotic metagenome
Description: Bacterial RNase P class A
Rfam family: Bacterial RNase P class A
About the family: Ribonuclease P (RNase P) is a ubiquitous endoribonuclease, found in archaea, bacteria and eukarya as well as chloroplasts and mitochondria. Its best characterised activity is the generation of mature 5'-ends of tRNAs by cleaving the 5'-leader elements of precursor-tRNAs. Cellular RNase Ps are ribonucleoproteins.
Source: RNAcentral
GUCGCCGGUCUAAGCUUUUUCGAAGGGUUAGACGGGAGGAAAGUCCGGGCACCAUAUAGCAAUCUAGUGGGUAACGCCCAUCCACCGUGAGGUGAGGACAAGUGCAACAGAAAGUAUGUACGGUGACUUCGGUCACGCAGUAGUGAAACCAGGUAAACUCUAGACGGUGCAAGCUCAAAUAGGCCUACGUUUAGGACGGCUAGUCCAAGUAGGCGGGUAGAGUGCUCGAGCCAAGGGGUAACCUUUGGCCUAGAUGAAUGACAACUCACGACAGGACCCGGCUUAUCUCUUUUCUCU